GACAGAGGCCUCGAGCGUUAGGCGGAAUCACUGGGCUUAAAGCGCGUGUAGGCGGAUCGUUAAGUGCCUUGUGAAAUCCUGCGGCUCAACCGCAGAACUGCUGGGCAUACUGGCGAUCUUGGGCCACUCAGGGGUCACUGGAACAAGCGGUGGAGCGGUGAAAUGCGUAGAUAUCGCUUGGAACGCCAAUGGUGAAAACAGGUAGCUGGGGCUGUGCUGACGCUGAGACACGAAAGCCAGGGGAGCGAACGGG
Molecule: ribosomal RNA, 253 nt
Filed under: uncultured bacterium
Lineage: Bacteria
Description: partial 16S ribosomal RNA
Rfam family: Bacterial small subunit ribosomal RNA
Source: RNAcentral